Molecule: non-coding RNA, 1406 nt
Organism: Coturnix japonica (Japanese quail)
Lineage: Eukaryota; Metazoa; Chordata; Aves; Galliformes; Phasianidae
Source: RefSeq, a predicted model, not a curated record
UGGAGGUGCACUCCAUAGCCCUGAUGAAUCCUAUCUCAUCUCUGUGAUGCCCUUUAUCUGAAUUUCAGAAAGGAAAGCAGAGACUUCCAUUGCCUCACCCAUUACUCACAUCCCUCCCAGAUCUGCACUGCAAAAGGGACCUGUGCAUGACUGCAGAAAAUGCUUUCACAGGGCUUUUUCCCUCACUCAGUUCUUCUGGGCACACUGAAAUUAACAGAAAGCUUACCAGAUCAGUUGCCUAAGGUUUAGUUUUUGAGCUACAACUCAUCUCAGUCCAGAUGUAGAUAUCAGGAGAUUUCUACAGCUGGUUCUUCCCAAUUUUUUGCCAGUGUUGACCUAAGGAUCACCAAGGAGAAGCAGGGCUGCAACAUAUGUACACACUCAAAGCCAGUGAAGGCUCGCACUUCAGUUUCUACAGGACAAGUGCUGCUCAGCUUGUACUUCAGAAGCACAAAUUUACCCUGCAUGUUGAAGUUCAGAGCCUUUCAAUACCCAGUGCAGAAGAAACCCACAACUAUCAAAAAUAAAAUAUUUCAGUGAGAUUUGCUAAGUGGUGAAAUCGCACAGUAAGGCAAUUGAAUGAACAUUCACCAUCCAACACUAGGUUUUACAAAGCACCCUGACAAAGCCUGCUUGGUCUGAGAUGUAAUGCUAGGAGGGAACUAAGCUACCCUUGUAAAAGCAAUAGAUAAGGUUAAUUUCAAAGACUGUACAUUAUCCACCUCUCCAGAAACACACUUUUUAGAUGCCAGCCCACUGAAGACUUGCAGCAGAGUCUCAGUGCUGACUCUGCCCUUCUCAUACCCCCAUUCCCAAGGUUUGCAGCAGAACAUCUCCAGGGCAGAAGACACAGAGUUGAUCCCAGCUCAAUGGUAUCAUGGGCAGUGUCACUGCAUGGCUCCAGCCUAAGUCCAAAAGGCUGUUUCACAUCAUGCUUUUGGCUAAGCAUGAAAUACCUGGAAAAUAUAGCACCAUGCUCUGAGCCAAGCAACACACAGCAGCUUGGCAUGAAAGGGAGCACGGAUUGAUCCCAAGUCUAGGCAGGGCAUUGCUGCGAACACUACUUCAGGCUCAGGCCCUUUCCAUCUCAAAAAGACAUACUAGCACUUAUUUAAUUGCCAAGUCAAGCUAUUUUUCUCUGUUCUUAUUUUGCUAAACAAAUUCACAGAGAAGAUAUACUUGGACAAAAAUUCACUAUCCUGGUGAAAAUCUAGAAAAACCCCUUUAAUUUUAGCAUAGCAAUAGAUUUGUGCACUAUAAUCCUCUGAACCCAGCCUAGGAAGUGUCCUUACACAGGCCACUGAUAUUUACUACAUUUACUUGGACGAAGCAGCAGACUGAUAAAGCAAGGCUACCAAUGCAUUGUAAAACCAAUCUCCUAGAAAGAGUUUCCAAGAUCUGCCACA